UCUGCUUCAACUAUCUUUAAUGCAAGAUACAUAGUUAAAUUAGAGUGUUUCCUUUUCCUGAAGGAGGCACAUCUUUGGUAACCAAAACAAUGCCUCUGGGAUCUCCUCCAAAAUGGCAGCCAUUAUGUAACAAAUUCCAAAAGAGACAAAAAGCAGCUGGUAUCUUCUGAAGAGGUUACCUUAGAGAUUUCAUCGAAAUCCAGGGAUGCCUAGAAGCAGUUAGUUGCGAACGAGGACAAUUUAUUGUUCCAUGUAAAGCAAGAGAUUUUUUUUUCCCGGAGAACAUUUUUGUUAAUAAUUUUAUACACUUUGGGUUUCUGAGGGAUCUUCAGAGUGAAUAUUGCAGCAAAUCAAGUAGAGAUUUUCUUUUUAAUUGUGGCAAGAACACUUUACGAGUGAUGAAGCCACUUUGCUGAAUAAGGUGAUGGGCGACUUGUAAGGAGAUUUUAAUGUGUACAUUGGCUCUAGUUCAUAAAAAUGGUCUGCUGAAAAUAUGGACUAUGUGUACAGCUGAUUUUCAUCUUAGGUCUGUAUUUUUUGGAGAAAUGAAGCACAACUAACACAAUAAGUGUACUUAAGACAUCUAUUCCAGUGAAUGUGAGAUGAAGCAUCUAUGCAUUUCAUCAGAUUGCCUGACCCAGUGUGGCUCCCCAAGCACUGCAAGGACUUGGUGAAAAUCUGAAGCUGACAAGGAAACGUCAAAUAAGGUUCUUUGCAAGACCAAGCUUUCCCUUUGGAUGCAAGUUGCAUGGCAUAAUCCCAGAUGGACCAGCAUGGAUAUUUCCCUGGCAUAACUUGUUCUUUUACAUCUGUGGAGCAGCAGUGAGUUGAUUGUGUCUUCUUGAAGAUCAAGACUGGUGAGGAUGUUUGGAUAAUAAUCAAAAGACUAUGUUGGACACCAUAGUCUUGAAAAUAUUUAACAGCAUCCUCUCUGUGCUAAUAUGAACUUUGAAGAAAAUGAUGCAGUAGGAUACAGAAAAGCUUCAAAAUACAUUCAUGGGAAACAAUAAUGAUGUUUAUUGGAAUUAAUCACUGCUAAAUACCCUCUUAUAACAGGACAUUUGGAUGGUUCUAGCUAAUGCCAGAGAGGGGUAGAUUUUAUAAAAAGAUAAGAAAAGAUUAAGGAAAAUCAUGAAUAAGGAGAAGAAGAAGACUGGGACAUUUAUAAAUAAGGUACAGAAUCAGAGUAUGUAAGGCAUGAAUGGAGUCUUGGAGUGUAAUGGGAGGUAAUUUGCUACAUCUAGUUGCAUCCAAAUAUGGUGCUGAGACUUUCUUUUCCACCUUAGUAUUGAUAUGUCUGUUUAUCAAGGGCCCCAUUUUUUGCUUUCAGGUAUUUUCAACUAAUUUAGAUCCUUAAAAACAGUGGGUUCCCAAGAGAUUACAUGGGAUUUAGCCAAAUUUCAGAAUAUGGCCAAGUACUUUUACUAAAAUAACCAAAUGCUAGCAGUUGGCAACUUUGAUGAGCCCUAAUUCCCAGGGACCUAGAGAAUAUCUUCUAUGCCAGAUAAUAUAAAUUCUUAUUUGAUCAGCUGUGAUAUAUUCUGUAUGCAUUGGCUGCAUUUUUACAUGGCUUUCCAGAGCAAGCCAUAAUAAAGUCUUCAUCUGGAAGCUGAUUUUUUAAAUCCUUUUCUUGACUUUAGGCCAUUCCUCCUUCUCCUAAAUCACUAGUUCUCAAAGUGUCGUCUGUAGAUUAACAGUAUCAACAUUGGCUGGAAGCUAAUUAGAAAUGCAAAGUUUUGAGCCACACCUCAGAUCUACUUCAGAAACUCAGAGGCUGACUAAACUUUGCAUCUUGUUAAGUCUUCCAGGCAAUUUUAACACAUGCUAGUGUUUGAACACCACCUUCCUAAGGUUGUGCAUGAGCUCUGUCAGCCUGGGUAAGCCUCAUGCAUUGAGUUUUAUGGGAGAGCUAGAGCAGGUUUGUCAACCUCUCUCCUUUUUUCUCGAUUUGCUCCAUACUCAGUUCCACCAGGGCCUGCUCUUUGGAUGCUCAGGAGCACAUAUUGGAGGUCAAAACAACUGCCUUUCUCUUUAUCCUUUUGUUUUAACAACCUAAUUUUCCUUGAGGUGGUGUGGAGUCAUCUGACUGAGAAGGGGAGAGGGUUGGUAAAAAAGGAAGUAUAGAAAAGGGAAAAAAAAAUCUUUUUAGAUACACUCUUGCUACCUGGGAAGACAAUGUCAGACAAUUAUAUGAUCCACCUAAUUUAACGUCUUUUUUUAUUUUUAGCAGAUAUAUCACAUGGAGAAAAUAUACUUUUAUGUAAAUAAAAAUCAGUGAAAUAAAUUUUGCUUUGCUUUGUGCUUAGUGUAUGUGAUAUUAAUAACCAAUAAGUUAUUAGAGGUUCUUCUUUCUUUUAUUUUAAAUUACAUUCUUAAUCAAUGUAUUUUAAAUCAUCUCUCUUACUGCUUCCAUACCUCUAGAUUAUAUAAGAAUAGAAAAUAUGACUCUCAGAAUGAUCAGCCUGAGUAAUGCAACAUUUCAGAUAAUCAAAACAAUUUCACUAAGUUUGUCAGCAUCCAGUAUGGUAAGCUCCAAUCACAAAGAUAAAAUAAUCAGAAUUUCCACUCAUAGUUUAACUUAAGUUGCCAUCUCCUAUUAGAUUUAGGUCAAUGCCUCCUCAAAAGUUAUAUACAGAUACAGUGACUGACUCUUCAUUCAAAAAUAUUUACUUUAUAUUUUUAUCACAUAGGGAAAAAAACAGUCUGUGUGUGUGUUUAUGUAUGUGUGUCUUCAAUCUCUGUUUCUCUGUCAUCUUUUUCUUGUCUGCAUUAGUCCAUUCUCACGCUGAUCUGAGGAAAUACCCAAGACUGGGUAAUUUAUAGAGAAAGAGGUUUGACUCACAGUUCCACAUGGCUGGGGAGGCCUCAGGAAACUUACAAUCAUGGUGGAAGGCACCUCUUCACAGGGCAACAGGAGAGAGAAUGAGUGCUGAGCAAAGGGGAAGCCCCUUAUAAAAUCAUCAGAUCUCAUGGGAACUCCCUAUCACAAGAACAACAUGGGGAAACCACCCCCAUGAUUCAAUUACCUCCACCUGGUCCUGCCCUUGACACGUGGGGAUUAUUAUAAUUCAAGGUGAGAUUUGGGUGAGGACACAGAGCCAAAUCAUAUCAUUUUCCUUCUUUAAACACAUAUUUGUUGCCUCUACCCUAUUAAAAUAAAAUAGCAUAAAAUACUUCUCUCAUUAAUCCUGUUCCAAAAAAUCUAUUCUACCUCUGUAUUUUCGUUGAAAAGUAUGAAUGUGAGUUAUUUUAAGUCUACAGGAAGCCUACUGUAUGGAAACAACUUCUUAAUAAUUUCAGUUAUAAAUGAUAUUCUAUUCACUAAGGCUGCAAAUUUAAAGCCACAUUAUU
Molecule: long non-coding RNA, 3351 nt
Filed under: Homo sapiens (human)
Lineage: Eukaryota; Metazoa; Chordata; Mammalia; Primates; Hominidae
Description: HSALNT0264078
Source: RNAcentral